RNAcentral lists this long non-coding RNA (15686 nucleotides) under Sorghum bicolor (sorghum). RNAcentral's name for it is "long non-coding RNA (SBIC_LNC004839)". Lineage: Eukaryota; Viridiplantae; Streptophyta; Magnoliopsida; Poales; Poaceae. The record is from RNAcentral.
UUGCAAAUUUGAAGUUCUCUCUCAAGUUUAGACAUAACUGUUAUAAUUUAAAGCUUGCUCCAAACCUAAACUUGUGGGAUGAAAACUUGAUCUGAAGUCUAAGUUGUUAACGGAUAUGAUAUGGGAAGGUUGAGCUACUGUUUAUCUGUUCCUAGAGAUGCUAGAAUUCUAUAGAAUUUUAUCUUUAAAAAAAAUCUUUAAAAUAUUGCAUGAUGAGUUCCUGUAUGAUGAGAGUUUAAAUUCCUACCACAGCCAUAUAUAGAUGCUUGCUAGACUUUGAGCCAUGCAUUUACUUUUUACUGCUUAUGAGCAUUGAGUGUGGUCAAGCUGUGUAGACCCCUAGGAGCUUGUCAUGUGGUUAAAUCAAGAUUCACUUGCACGUUCACUCACAUAUGCUACUUCUACUCCGGAAGUACCAUCCACAUAUAUCGACUCAUUUCCAUAUCCAGAACCACCCAAAAAUAUUCUACUUCUAAUCCGGGAGGGAAUAGCCAAAAACAUUUCUGUUUUUCCCCUGUGAAAUAAAUGCUCAAGUUAUCUUGUUACUACCACUUGCUAUAUUAUCUUAUGAGAUGAGUGCUCUAAAAAAAAGAUACGAGGAAAUAAAAAGGGGCAAGUGCCCGGAACCUCGAAACAAAAGAAAAAAAGUGAGACGAGAGGUAAAAAUGGACAAGUGUCCGACAGUAGAAUUAGGGGUACAAGAUACCCACCUGAGAGGAAAGAAAAAGAAAAAAAAAGAAGAGCAUCUCAUUCUCCUCACAAAAUUCCAAAAACCAAGGAAGGUAUGUAUCCCCUCAAAGAGCAAAAGUAGAAUUAGACUUUCACCAUUGUUAUCACCAUCAUCACCAUACACCAUUCAUUCGCCACACAUGCACAUCUUGAUUUGGCUUAUUGAUUUGUUUCUUUGGAUCCAUGGUUUGACUAUACAAUAAAUGUCUUGUAAGUAUGUAUAUUUUAUCUCCCACCUAUGAGCUCCAGAUAUUAAAGCCUUAUUAGAGUAGGGUGAGAGAGAAGGCAAUGUCACUAUGCCAUAUACCACAAAUAACACAUAUCUUGAGAGAAGGCAUAUACCAUCACUGCCUUGGUAAGGAUUCAGAAAUACCACAAAGGAGAGAUUUGAGGGGGUCAUACAAGGAAUCUCAGAGUUUUAUUUGAAAAUCUGCAAAAACUCCAGAGCUAUAGCUGAUCAAGAAUAAGAGACAUGGCACUUGAUUAGACCGUUCUAUCUUUUAACUACUCAUGACAGAAGUGAUGGUUACUAGUCCCAUGGUGAAAGGUAGAGUAAGUAAGUUUUAAGUCUUGACAGUUUACUCUAACUCAGAGAUGAGACCUUAUUUAAAAGCAUGUGUACCGUCAAUUUUUAAAGUAUUGCAGCAACUUCUAAUCUAUCCUUGCUCAGGGACGAGCAAGAGGUAAGCUUGGGGGAGUUUGUUGACGGUCCUCAAGUAUCAAAUUUAAUUAUCAAAUAAACAAAGAAAAGGAUCCAAAUGAAAUCAACAUCUAGACUUAGGGUUUUAUCUGACAGAAUUCCACGAGUUUUGGUGUUUGUCUAUUUCUGCAGGGGGUUAUCAAGAAAUACGGAAGAAAGGCCCACACGUCGGUAUUACAUAGAGAUAUUAACGUGCCGCGCAAUUAUCUUACAUCUAGAAGACUCCAGAAGCCACGGGAAGGAAGCGGAGGCUGAACGGGGCCAGGCACUGGGCGCCUGCCCACUUGACCGGGGCGCCCGCCCCCUGUUGGUGUCCAAUCAGGACACUCUUUCGGGAAAGAUCUCCACCGACCAAAAGGAUCAAGGAUAACCGUUCAAUCAAUGUCGGUUUGAUCCAACAGCCCAUAUUCACUUGAAGGGACUAUAAAACCAGACCCCCUGGCCCUUGGAGGAGAGAGCCUCUCAACCCUAAUUCAUUAUUCUCAAGGGACAAGAAGCCCCUGAUCAAGCCUAGAGCCACCACAUCAAUUAGACAUCUAGAUUAGCAUAGCUACAUAGGAUUAGAACUAGAAGGAGUCAUUCUUCGAUUGGUUUCCGGAUCUGUCAAGAGGAUUCUUGGUAAUUCUCUAAUUGUUCUUCUAAUUGUUCUUCUAAUCAUCUUUAUUCUUCAAUAUUAUGAAUAUGACUUUGUUCUACUUCAAUAUAUUGCUUAUGACUUUGCUCUACUUGUUUAUAUUCAAGAUUAUAUUGUUCUUAGUUUAUCAUAGUUAUGUACUUGGCUUAGUUAGAUUGGAUCUAUAUACAUGUUUAGGAUCGUAUAGCGUUUAUCCAUCGGAUCCAUGGGUAAAUGAUAGAUAUUGUGUAGGCAUGGUGCUUAUACCGUAUUUUUCUGCGAUUGUACCUAAUAUGCCAGAUCGUGGGGUAGUUCGUGAUAGUGAUAGUUUCAUUGAUUCUUAUAUAGUCCCCCUCUCAUGUAUUGGCUGGCAGAGCAAUAUUAUUACAGGGGAGUGAUUGCUAUGUUUCUCAUUUACCUUGCUAAUAUCACUAUGCAAGGGCGUAGUCUUGUCUCGCAAUGAUUGCUAAGUAUGCUUGCACUAACUAUGAUAAUGCUAGACUAUAUAGUUGAGAAUAACUUAGGAAAUAUUCUUGUAGUUCGUUCUAAUUCCAUGCUAAUGACUUUCUAGAGUAUAAUUAAGGUGCCUAUCAUAUUUAUUAUGAGGCUAAGUUAUGCUGAUUAGAUUAAUUAUCUUUGUCACUAUUCAUUACUUCAUAUAUCCUUUAUGUGACACUUACCCCUGUAUGAAAGAGUUAGAUAAAUGUUCUCAAUUAUACAUGCAAUGAUAGAUACUCAAUCUUAUAUUCUAUUCUGUAAUCAAUAUUGAUAAUUGCUAAUCCCUUCCCAGUGGUAAAAAUAUAAAUAACGAUACCUGGAAUACUUUCCGGUUAAAAUGCUACAUCGGUAUUAAUCUGUGCACUUCCAUAUCCCAUUUGUUAUUUAUUUAGAAGAGCAAUUGCAUAUUUCAUUACCGCAUCUCUCAUGUCAUGCUGGGGAUGACAACUUGGCUUAAGUGGUAUGAGGGAUAGGUUUGGCAUUUUUGGCACUGUUACUAGAAUUAGAAAAGUAAGUCUACUUUUGGUAAUGAUGUUAAGAAUAACCAACAAUAGACCGAAAUGAGAUUCCAUAUGACACACGUCAUCAAGGAGUUCUGUUGGGUGCGUCCAAAUUGAUUUCAGGGUAUAUGGCACGUUCCAUGCAAACCGUGCAUCUAUCUUGCAUCAAGAUUAGCACUAUCUUCAAAUAGACCAACCUGAGCUUUCACUUGAGCCCUUUACCUAGGAGUACCAUCCGGUCCAUCCAAAAUGGUUUCUUAGCCUAUGGUGCAUUAGGUGGAAACCAUGCACCUAUCUUGCACUGAAACUAACACUAUCUCCAAAUAGAUCAAAACAAGAUUCCUUAUGACACACGUUAUCUAGGAGUUCCAUCAGGUGCAUCCAAAUUGAUUUCCAGGCAUUUGGUUUGUUCCAUGCAAGCAGUGCACCUAUCUUGCAUCAAGAUUAGCACUAUCUCCAAGCAGACCGAAUCGAGCUUUCACUUGAGCCUCUUCACCUAGGAGUACCAACCGGUGCGUCCAAAAUGGUUUCUUAGACUUUGAUGCAUUAGGCGCAAACUGUGCACCUAUCUUGCACUGAAACUAACAAUAUCUCCAAACAAACCGAAGCAAGAUUCUAUAUGACACAUGUCAUUUGGGAGUUCCAUCGGGAGCGUCCAAAUUGAUUUCCGAGCAUAUGGUACGUUCUAUCCAAACCGUGCACCUAUCUUGAAUCAAGAUUAGCACUAUCUCUAAAUAGACCGAACUGAGCUUCCACGUGAGCCUCGUCAUCUAGGAGUACCAUCAUGUGCGUCAAAAAUGGUUUCUUAGCCAAUGGUGCAUUAAGCUCAAACUAUGCACCUAUCUUGCACCAAAACUAACAGUCUGCAAAUAGACCGAUGCGAGUUUCAAUAUGACACACGUCAACUAGGAGUUCCAUCGAGUGCGUCCAAAUUGAUUUCUAAGCAUAUGGUAUGUUCCAUGCAAACCGUGCAACUAUCUUGCAUCUAGAUUAGCACUAUCUCCAAACAGACCGAACCGAGCUUCCACUUGAGCCUAUUUACCUAGGAGUACGAAAAGGUGUGUCCAAAAUGGUUUCUUCAGCUAUAGUGCAUUGGGCGUAAACUUGCACCUAUCUUGCACCGAAACUAACACUAUAUCAAAACAGACCGAAGCGAGAUUCCAUAUGACACAUGUCAUCUAGGAGUUUCAUCGGGUGCGUCCAAAUUGAUUUCCGAGUAUAUGGUGCGUUCCAUGCAAACCGUGCAACUAUCUUGCAUCAAGAUUAGCACUAUCUCUGAAUAGACCCAACCAAGCUUCCACUUGAGCCUCUUCUAUUAGGAGUACCAUCAGGUGUGUCUAAAAUGGUUUCUUAGCCUUUGGUGCAUUAGGCGCAAACCGUGCACAUAUCUUGCACCGAAACUAACAAUGUCUCUAAAUGGACCGAAGCGAGAUUCCAUAUGCCACAUGUCAUCAAGGAGUUUCAUUGGGUGCGUCAAAAUUGAUUUCCAAGCAUAUGGUAUGUUCCAUGCAAACUGUGCAUCUAUCUUGUAUGAAGAUUUGCAAUAUCUCCAAACUGACCGAACCAAGCUUCCACUUGAGCCUCUUCGCCCAGGAGUACCAACAGGUGCGUCCAAAAUGGUUUCUUCGACUCUGGUGCAUUAGGCACAAACCGUGCACAUAUCUUGCACUAAAACUAACACUGUCUCUAAACAGUUGGAGACAGUGUUAGUUACAGUGCAAGAUAGGUGCAUGGUUUGCGCCUAAUGCACAAUAGGCUCAGAAACAGUUGCGGAAGCAUCCAAUGGUACUCCUAGGUUAAGAGGCUCAAGUGGAAGCUCAGUUCGGUUUGUUUGGACAUAGGGCUCAUCUUGAUGCAAGAUAGGUGCACGGCUUGCAUGGAAUGUACCAUAUGCUUGGAAAUCAAUUUGGCCACACCUAAUGGAACUCGUAGAUGGUGUGUGUCAUACGGAGUCUCGCUUCGAUCUAUUUGGAGAUAGUAUUAGUUUCGGUGUAACUUAGGUGCAUGUUUUGUGCAGAAUGAACCAUAGGCUCAGAAAGCAUUUUAGACGCACCCGAUGGUACUCCUAGGUGAAGAGGCUCAAGUGGAAGCCUGGUUUGGUCCAUUUGAAGAUAGUGCUAAUCUUGAUGCAAGAUAGGUGCACGGUAUGUGUGGAACAUACUAUAUGCUCAGAAAUCAACUUGGACACACCCGAUGGAACUCCUCAAUGACGUGUGUCAUAUGGAAUCUCAGUUCAGUCCAUUUGGAGACAAUGUUUGUUUUGGUGAAAGAUAGAUGCAUGCUUUGCGCCUAAUGCACCAUAGGCUCAGAAAUCGUGUUUGAAGCACCUUAUGGUACGACUAGGUGAGGAGGUUCAAGUGGAAGCUUGGUUCAGUCUGUUUGGAGAUAGAACUAGUCUUGAUGCAAGAUAGGUGCACGGUUUGCAUGGAACAUAUCAUAUGCUCGGAUAUCAAUUUGGACACACCUGAUAGGACUCCUAGAUGACGUGUGCCAUAUGAAAUCUCGCUUCGGUCCAUUUGGAGACAAUGUUAGUUUUGGUGCAAGAUAGGUGCACCGUUUGCGCCUAAUGCACCAUAAGCUACGAAACCAUUUUGGACGGACCUGAUGGUACUCCGAGGUGAAGAGGCUCAAGUAGAAGCUUGGUUCGGUCUAUUUGGAGAUAGUGCUAAUCUUGAUGCAAGAUAGGUGCACCGUUUGCGUGGAAUGUACCAUAUGCUUGGAAAUCAAUUUGGAUGCACCCGGUGGAACUCCUAGAUGACGUGUAUCAUAUGGAAUCUCGCUUCGGUCCGUUUGGUGACAGUGCUAGUUUUGGUGCAAGAUAGGUGCACGGUUUGCGCCUAAUGCACCAUAAGCACCCAAUGAUACUUCUAGGUGAAGAGGCUCAAGUGGAAGCUCAGUUCGAUCUGUUUGGAGAUAGUGCUAAUCUUGAUAUAAGAUGGGUACAUGGUUUGUGUGGAACGUACCAUAUGCUCAGAAAUCCAUUUGGACUCACCGAAUGGAACUCCAAGAUGACGUGUGUCAUAUGGUGUCCCGCUUCGAUCAAUUUGGAGACUGUUAGUUUUGGUGUAACAUAGGUGCACUUUUUAUGCCGAAUGAACCAUAGGCUUAGAAACCAUUUUGGACGCACCUGAUGGUACUUGUAACAGAACCGUCUAAUUUAUAAGAAUUCAAGUGAAUUAGCGACCACAAGAGCAAUCAAGCCAAUGGACUUGAACCCAUAUAAACCCGGUAGUCCGACAAAACCUCAAAGAUCUCGACUCAACCAACAUACAACCAAGACCGUACAUGAUCAAGCAUCUCCAUCACAGAUUACAACAUUCAUCACAGAACAGUUUUUACAACACAUCGGAGUUCAAAGAGAGUUAUUACAACAGUUCAGUAGUGGAAGCAAAGUAGUUUUGAACAACACACAUACUGAGUUUAAUUACAUGCCAGUUCCAUGAUCAACCCAACAAAAGCAUAACCGAAUAUAAUAGAAGUGAUCUUGCCCAUGAUCUACUCAUCAUCCGCAGCCGGAUGGUGACAGUUAGCACAGUAGCCGUGAUACACGACAUCAUCUGCAACAAGGGUAAAUAAAACCCUGAGUACGAGAAUGUACUCAGCUAAACGUACCCAUCAUAAACCAGAAAUAAAGUGACACCAAGGAGUAUGCAAGGCUAACAUUUGUGGACUGGUUUGACUCACAUUUUUGCAUAAAAAGCUUUAGUUUUAAGUAACACAUAUAUACAAUUUCAGCAGCACGUUUAUUACUUAAACAGCUAUCCACUAGGUUAGCACCUAAGCUAAGCAUACACUUGAUUAUUAAGCAUCACAAUAAUAACCAUAUCCGGAUUAUCACCUAGCCAUCAUCAUUCUCAUCAUAACCAUUAAGUAUCUUUAGUGAAUUCUACGUUGCCGCUGCUCGAGUCAAGUUCUCACUAUCUGGGAGAGACGGCGAUUCGAAUCGAUUCCUAUCUAGCUGGAGGGGUAUUCCUAGCACUCACCCAAGCCUACCUCGCGAGGGCAGCUCGGAUCACCUUCAGCACAACUCUGGACCAAUUCACGGGUCCGUACAACGCCGCACCCCCAGGGACCGCCAAUCUGCCAGGGUCAGGACUCUAACCUGACACCUCGGUCUUACGCCAUUGACUCCCCGCACAUCCUUGCUACCAACCGGUGUGCGCACUUAAACCGAACGGGGUAUCCGGCCGGAGAUGCACUCGUAGGCUUCGCGGUCGGAAAUACUUAUCCGGUCAAGUAAGUGUUAGGCAUGCGUUCAACAUGACACGAGGACGUACAGCGUAUCGGUCCUUAAACGACACAGACGGGGAUAGAUUCACACCCAAGACCUCCAUGCCUUGUUGCUGCACUAUCGUCAUCCCACCUGGUCUCAAUUCAUUAUUAGCCCAUGGUUAUUUCCAUGAUAGCAAAUAUAGCCAACCGUGAUCCAGUAUCCACCUAUCUCUCACAGGUGACAGAAAUCACCCGGCUUCUACCGAGCUAAGCAUAAUUUUGAUCCUGGACCUACUUAGGUAAGUUAUAAGGUGGACAAGGUAGUCAUUAUGCAGCAAGGGUGUCAUAUUAACGCCUAACACUUAAUGCAACAAUACAUAACCAUAGUUAAUUGACAGCUGGACAUGAUAACAAAAAUAGUAGGAGUCUUAUAAUGCUCCGGGGCUUGCCUUUGACGUAGGUGGAAGGACGGUGAUCCGGACACUCCGGCAGAUCCUCUUCCUCUUCAGCUCCUUCUCCUUGAGGUGGCUCCCACUGCUGCUCCUCCAGCUCGGGUGGUGCGAACUCCAAGACCGUCACGCCCUUGGGUACACCUAAGUAUGCAUGACAAGGCGAUAAACAUAGGGAAUGCACAUAUGAUGCACGAUGUCAUGAUGAAGAGCCAAAGGAACAUAAAGCCAUGUACAAACAUAAGUAUAAAGCUUAUAAGAUUAUGAGGAUCAUGAAAUAACAAGUAAGUGCAUACUUCUUCUCUGGUAGAGAGACUAACUAGACAAGUAAUCAACCUUAGCUAUUCACACACAACAACUGGGGUCAUGUACAGAUUAACUAGUCACAAGUUCUGGUUAUAACUUAAACAUCAGUUGGCCAAAUUAAGCAAGUAAGAACUUUCUGGAAAGCUUAAAAAAUUGUCUACAAUUCACUUUUAAACAUCCCAGAAAGAUUCCCAACCGAAAUAUGCUGAAACAGGCAAAGCUUGCUGGCUGUCCUGGAAAAUCCAGAGAGCAAGCACUUCGCAGCAACUCCUAGAAACAGUCAUAACUCUUACACUACUUAGCCUAAUGUUAUGAAAUUUUGACACAAGAUAGAUAAGUAAGUUAGCUACAAGUUUGUUAUAGACAAGUUUUCCAGAAAACUUCAUCUUCAAGCAGUUCUUAAGUAAGUUCUACUAACUGCACAGAAUAAGCUCUAGACAUGGCUUAAUUAACAAAAUAAUAUUUUAACACAUUAAGAAUGCAACAUUGGUUCAAACCAAAAUUACCAGUAGCUAGCAUAUAUCUAAGAAACAUCAUAAAACAUCAUGGCAAGGUUUAAACUCAUUUUUAUUAUCCCCUUUUAUAUUUAUUUAGUUAUUAAGAUGAUUCAAUGAGCAUAUACCACAAUUGCUCCAAAAAUUCUAAUAAAAUUACAGAAUGCUAUCUAAGCUACCACAAGGUUAAUAUAAAAUAUUCAGGGCUCUUGCACAUGUAUAUUGUGAGAUACAAAAAUAACAAGCUAACUAUGGCAUUAAAGGCAUAAAUGUGAAACCCUAUCAAAAAGUGUCAAACAACAGAUUUCAGAUUUUUUUAGCUUUGUUUACAGAUGAUUACAUCACUCAGAAAGUUUCAUCAUAAAAGGAGUUAUAAUCUAUUUACUAAAAAUACCACAAAAAACUCCUAUUUAAACAAGAAAUAUUUAUAACUCUACCAACAGGCAUCCAAAAAUCAUGAUAAAUUUAUCAGAGCCAAUACAUAGCAUGAGGAACAAUCUCCUAAAUUUGCAUGGCCAUAAAACAUACAGAUCCCAAAAUAUAAUUACCCUCUAUUUUCCAAGGAUUAAAUCAUAUCUAUUUAUUUCUUCAAAAACAUGACAUGUUUUAUAUUUUUAGUAAAAACUAGACUAACUCAAGAACCUAGAAAAAUUGGAAUCACUCCAUUUGGAUCUGUCUAACUCAAGUUAUGAAUUUUACAAAAUCAGCUCAGAAUCAGCAAAACAGUGGACCAGAGGGGAGAGAGUGAGAGGCUGACGGGUGGGGCCUGCUAACAGAUAGGACCCACGCGACAGAGAGACAGAGAGCAGAGACGAGCUCGUUGCUGGCGAAUCUCGACGACGGCGAGGUCUCGGUCGAAUCCAAGGGCACAGUCGUGACCCUCUCACCAAGGCGGACCUGCCAAGGUGCAAAACCCUAACUCUACCGAGCUCUAGGGUGCUCGUCGGCGUGAAUGGCGGCUCGGCGGCGCUGCGGGCGAUACGUCGGCGUGCUCAGCCGAUGCCGACCCGGUUGAGGUUAACGCCGAGCAUCAGUGAGUCAAGGGGAAGCUCUAGGAACAAAAAUGAGAAGGAAUGGUGGAGCAGGGAGGCCUGGCCACGUCGCCGGUGAGCUCGGGCGGAACUCCGACGAGGAAGAACGGCUCGGAGCUUGGCAAUGCCGCCUUACCCACGCUCGACAGUGGCCAAGGAGGUGACGCCGAGGUAGUUGUUGACAGUCCUUAAUGCUCAUAUUUAACCAUCAACUAAUCAUAGAAAAGGAUCCAAAUGCAACCAACACCUAGACUUAGGGUCUUAUCUGACAGAAUUCCACGAGUUUUGGUGUUUGUCUAUUUCUGCCGGGGGUUAUCAGGAAAUACGGAAGAAAGGCCCACACGUCGGGUUUACAUAGAGAUAUUAACGUGCCGUGCAAUUUUCUACCAUCUAGAAGACUCCAGAAGCCACGGGAACGAACGGGAAGGAAAUCGGGCUCGGAGGCAGGGCGCCCGCCCAACUCUCUUGGGCGCCCGCCCAGCUACAGUGCCCAAUCAGGACACGUUUCGCGGAUUAUGCUCCACCGACCUAAAGGAUCAAGGAAAACCGUGCAAUCAAUGUCGGUUUGAUCCGACGGCCCAGAUUCACUUGAAGGGACUAUAAAACCAGACCCCCUGCCCCUGGAGAUCAUACCUCUUCUACAGAAUCAAAGCUAGGGUUUCAAUUCUUCAUCCAAGUAGAGAGGAUCCCUCUAGUUCUUCUAGUUCUACCUCUAGUUCAUCUAGAUAUAGUUCUAGUUCAUCUAGUUCUAGUUCUAGUUCCUCUAGUUCUAGUUCUAGUUAGUUCUAGUUGUAAUCUAGAAAAUAGGGAGAGAGAAUAGGAGAGCCGAGGAGGAGCCGGAUCUGUCGGAUCUUCCUCAACAUUAUACUUUUGCAGCACCUGGUUCGUUCUUCAUCGUUCUCCAGGUUCUUCAAUUCAUAAUUCCUGAGUUCUCUAAUUACUUUUAUUUACAUUCAAGUUAUUUAUUGGAUUCCCGCUUGCAUCAAGUGCUCUAAUCUUUGAAACAUUAGAGUAUUAAUUAAUAGAUUAGACGUGGUGUUUAGUCUUGCAAUUACCUAGAAUUGCACCCAAUCCUGCGGAUUGUUGUGGUAGCUUUAAUGUAGUGACAGCCCUAAUGGUCGACGUGUUCCACCUCGUUCGGAUCGGUGUUUGUAGGACCGUAGUCGGAGCUUCCUAGCCCCCUUCUCAUCUCUUUCUGUGGUUAGUGUUCUGAUGUCCCGAAAUAGAUAAUCUUGAAGUAAUUCUUGAUUCUUAGAUCAACUAGAGAACUCUCAGGAAACUUCCUCUCUUCCCUGUGGAUCUUGGAUCUUAAUUAGUACACUCACGUUCCCUGUGGAAAAUCGAUACUCUGGAAUACUCCCGGGUGAAGGCUACAUCGGUAUCCAUGCGCUUGCGGAUUUUUCUGUUUGCGUUUAAAAUACCCAACAAGCUAUCUGGCGCCGUUGCCGGGGAACAGUAGCUGUGCUAGUUUCGAACCAAGUCAUCCGUGUAUCCUUUUUCUUUUCCUUUUUACCACACUCACCUUAUCAUUUUCACCACACCACAUGGAUUUCACUCUAAGCAUCAAUGAGCAUGGAAUCUAUUUCAUAGACACUUCAUUUACUCCAUGCUCAUAUGCAACAUCUUCACAAUCCAUUGGUCUCUCCAACAUCACCACAUUCGAGAUCUCCAACCCCCUCUUCCUUUCUAUUUAUAAAAACUUUAAAAGGGCGGUUGUCGAUGCAUAUGUCUAUAAGAAAUAUUGCAGAUCUCGUUGAGUUGAUCUUGAUAUAGGUCAGCGCUAGAGGGGAAACCACUUCACUGACAUAAAUUGAUGGUUUCCCAAGGACAAGCUUAGUGUCCUAAAAUAAGCACUGAUCAGAUCGUAACAUGAGCUUUGAAUUAUUUGCAACAUUACCUUGUGUAUUGAGCAUAUAAGGAUAAUUGUAAAAAAUUCCUUCGGCUAUUCUUGUCACUAACCUUUCCAGGAUUGGAGCAAGAAGAUCGGAUGAAUGACAAGCACAAGGUAUGUCCAACCAAUCAUCAUACAACAUUGAAUUAAAUUCAUCCAAACUUGAAUUUUGCAAAAUUCAAGCUUGGGGGAGUACUUUACAUAAAAACAUUCUUUGCCAUGUUGCUAUGUUGGUUGUCCCUACCUUUGAGACAUGCUCAAUUUGUUAAAUAGUAAUCACACUACUUCAUCUCCACUUGAGUAGAUCUCUAUAAAAGCCAUCACGCUACCUUUGUUUAUCCUAGUAAGUGCUAGUUUGGAAGUACUGUACAUACUUCUAUUGGUUUUUAAAUUAAGCAUGGUGCUUAGGUUAAACAGCCUUCAUUAAUCUAAUUAGACAUGGAGUCUAGUUUGGUUAUUGAACUAAAAACUGCUUGUGUAGACAUUGGUAUAUUUUGUUGGACUAACCCCUACAGAAAAAAAUAAACUUUCAAUAUCAACCUCGGAAGUCCUGAGAUAAACUCACAUUGGAGACAAAGAGAGAGACACAUAAAGGUUAACAAUUUACACAAGGAAGGCAUAGCUCAGAAGAGAUGAUCCAUGGAGGGUGCCACAAACACGAUGCACAACCUCUAAGAAAGGAAAGCUUCCACAAGGUGAUACUAUACCAUAACUCUUCAAGUAAGGUAACAUCUUAAGGUACUUGACUAUCACUUUUAUAAGCUUGUGCUUGGUUCUGGUGUUCAUAUGAAUAAAAGAGACAAACAUGUAUGAUUUACAAUUCUAGGUUAACCAACCCAAUCGAUUCAACAUGUUUAGUCCUUCCACCGUUGUGAUCUCACACUCCUAAUCAUAUGAACUAAAAUGUUGCACACUCAAUCUUUGGAAGAUAUAUAAAAAACAACAUAAAUAUAGAUAGAUUAUCUUUCCAUUAGGUUGAGCAAUCUGAUCUGGCAAAUGUUUUAAAUGCUACACUCAUGAUCUUAUUAUCCAUCAACUUUGUCUUGCUCACUAUGCUUAAGGUUAGAGAAGAACAAAUACACUUUUGGUUCUGUUGGUGUUUUCCACCAACAGGGCCCAUGCACUUGAUCUCUGCCUUGUCUCUAUGAGUAGGUACACUUCGAGCAAAAUAUGAAGGAGUUUUACAACUCCCAGACUCCACCAAGUGAAGAACCUAGAUAUAUGAGCACAAACACGCUGGAGAUACUGGACACUCAUGCAAACACUGCCCUGAGAUGCUUGAGGAUGUAACUACUGGAGUAACCCCGUUGUGGAAGUAAUUACUGACCUUCUGUCGAUCAAGAGAGACAAUCUAGAAUGCCCUGUCAUCCCAAUCUCCAUCGGCAUGGUGGACUUCCUAGAAGAAGUCUGGGACUUUGGCUCCAGCGUCAACAUUAUACCUAGGGGAAGCCAUUCCUGAACACCUCGGGAGCUGUCAUCUACGCUAGUGCUGCCAAGAUCAGUUUCUACAUCAAGGGGAAGAAGGAGACGUUUUCCUUCAAGAAAUAAGACUACACAAAUCCUAGAGCAAUCCCGACAUGAACCAAGGAAGAGGACCAACAGGAGGAACAAGAACAAGUAAAUGUGUACCGAGUCAGCUAAGAUGGUCACUGCAGCUCAAAGAGGUCAAGAUCGUCAACUCAAGUCACCUUUCUUGAUCAAGAAGGACGACCCUGGUGUCCUAAGCAUCGAGUGCACAAUCAAUGGAUAUUCUUUUCAGAAGACACUCUACGACACCGGAUCUAACGUCAACAUAAUGGCCGCAGUCACUUAUCAGCUCCUGCAUGGAACCAUGUCCCUACAACCAACAUACAUUCAGCUCCAGAUGGCAGAUCAGACAUUCUAAAAGAUUGAAGGUUAUUGACAUGGGAGAAGACGAGUAUGAUCCACCCAUCAUCCUUGGAAGACCGUUCUUAAGCACCAUUAAAGCAAUCAUAUACAUUGGAACCAGAGAAGUCCACAUGCACUUCCCCUCAAAGAAGGUACGCCACUGUUUUACUGACUCUAACUAUAUAGUUAAAGACUCUAAGCAGGUCAGGACAAGAAGAAGACGACGCAACCGCAACCAGAGGAGGCAAAUCAUCAAGGACGGAUGGGUAGACUAUGAAGGAGAAGUGGUAAGGUCUGAAGACAUACAGCUUGAACAGAACUGUCCUGAGGAGACCGUAGCAUCGAGUCAGGUGUGGAAAGAGAAGAUAGCUAUACACGAAGAGGAAGCACCAUCGGAACCACCGACUACGCCAUCCAGCGAAUCCCAGAAUGACUCAGGAAACGGAGAGUCCCGUUCGGAGGACUUAAAAACACCGAACGCCUUGCCAAGAGGUAAACUUGGUAGUUAUCUUUUUUCUUUUAAUUAUUUAAAAUAGUUUGCUUAGUUAAUCAGGUUCACAUCACCUUGAAAAGAAAAUAAAAAUAUUGAAAAUAGUAAGCCCCAUGUGAGUAUGCUCAUGGCAUAAAACCCAUAAGUACAUUCACUAUGGUGGCAUAAAAAUAAAAUAAAUAUAUUCUUGUCCUAUAAAAAUAAAAUUAUAAAAAUAAAUUUAUGAUCCUACUAAAGAGUGUAACAUUUAUUAAGGAGGCUCAACAUGAUAAAGGCUAGAUAUUUAUGCUAACACUUAACUAGUUCCACAAAGCUUUGUUGUCUAUUUGAGCUCCACAGAAUUCAAGGAUCAAAGAAUACUAGCAGACGGAGGACAUCCUAGUCGCUGUCAGGGUGCUGCCGACAUUCAAAUACACCUCCACCACGUGCUAGAUACAUCAGGAGAAAUUGCGUCAAAAUCCAACUUGGGGGAGAGCACCCCCAUUUAUCCAGCUAAGUGUUCUACUGAUGUUUAUAUUUUACUCAAAUAAUAAAAAGAUGCAUAAUCAUAAAAACCCAAAUAACGAUUUUGUGCUUACAUAUAUAUCUUUGCUUAGUUUGCUAAAUAAAUAAAUAAACAAAGUUUGCAAUAAACCCUCGUGAUAAGCUCUCACAUGGAAAUGAUGAAUAGUUGCUCUGCCAUGACUAGUUCUCAAAAUUGAAAUCUCUCUCAAGUUUAGACAUGACUGUUAUUAAUUAAAUUUGCUCUAAACCUGAACUUGUGGGGAGAGUACUUGAUCUAAAGUCUAAGUCGUUAACGGAUACGAUAUGGGAAGGUUGAGCUGCUGUUUAUCUGUUCCUAGAGAUGCUAGAAUUCUGGAGAAUUUUAUCUUUGAAAAAAAUCUUUAAAAUGUUGCAUGAUGAGUUCCUGUAUGAUGAGAGUUUAAAUUCCUACCACAACCAUAUAUACAUGCUUGCUAGACUUUGAGCCACACAUUUACUUUUUACUGCUUAUGAGCAUUGAGUGUGGUUAAGCUGUGUAGACCCUUAGGAGCUUGUCAUGUGGUUAAAUCAAGAUUCACUUGCACGUUCACUCACAUAUGCUACUUCUACUCCAGAAGUACCAUCCACAUAUAUCCAUCCAUUUCCAUCUCCAGAACCACCCAAAAAUAUUCUACUCCUAAUCCGGGAGAGAAUAGCCAAAAACAUUCUCCUAUUUCUGUUUUUCCCUGUGAAAAAAAUGCUCAAGUUAUCUUGGUUACUACCACUUGCAAUAUUAUUUCAGGAGAUGUGUGCUCAAAAAAAAGAAAGAAAAAAAGAAAGAAUGCGAGGAAAUAAAAAGGAGCAAGUGCCCGGAACCUCGAAAGAAAAGAAAAAGUGAGACGAGAGGUAAAAAUGGACAAGUGUCCGAUAGUAGAAUUAGGGGUACAAGAUACCCACCUGAGAGAAAUGAAAAAAAAGAGAGAAAAUAUAGAGCAUCUCAUUCUCCUCAAAAAGUUUCGAAAGAGCAAGAAAGGUAUGUAUCCCCUCAAAAGAGCAUAAGUAGAAUUAGACUUUCACCAUUGUUAUCACCAUCAUCACCAUACACCAUUCAUUCGCCAGACAUGCACAUCUUGAUUUGACUUAUUGACUUGUUCUUCUGGAUCCAUGGUUUGACUAUGCAAUAAAUAUCUUGUAAGUAUGUAUUUGCUGUCUCCCACCUAUGAGCUCCAGAUAUCAAAACCUUAUUAGAGUAGGGUGAGAGAGAAGGCAAUGUCACUAUGCCUCAUACCAAAAAUACCACAUACUUUGAGAGAAGGCAUACACCUUUACUGCCUUGGUAAGGAUCCAGAAAUACCACAAAAGAGAGACUAGAGAGAGUCAUACAAGGAAUCUCUGAGUUUUAUUUGAAAAUCUGCAAAAACUCCAGAGCUAUAGUUAAUCGA